GCUCGGUCGAACAGACCAUAGUGUUCGGGUCGUUCGUCGAGGAAGGAGGUUCUCUCGUUUUACUAAACCCAGUUUUUUGAUUUGGGUAUUGCUGCUUUCUGCUAUCUUCUUGAUUUCUUUCUCUGUCUUUGGCCUCAAAUUGCAACUUCCUGGUAAUUUGGAAAUUUUGGAGAGCAGCAUUUCAUCUUCACAGAAAUUUGAUAUUGGUGGUAAUAGAGAAAGAAGAGUCAAGUUUUCGAAUGAAGUCCAGCAUGAAUUUUCUGGAUCUAAUAACGUUGUCAAAACAUCAAGAAGCAAGCGCCGUAAACAGCGUAAGAGAAGUUGGCUUGUAUACCAUUAAUUUCGAUAUAUGUGUUUUGCCAUAUGAUAAUUUCAUCUUAUUAUUGUUAGAAACAUUAACUCUGUUCUUUUGGGAUCUAUGCUACUUUUUCAAUUGUCUUGUUGCUCGAAGAUUUGGAAACUCUAGGAUGAAAUUGUGACCCUAGACAUUUCAGCUUUAUAUCUGCUGUUAUAUUAUAUUUUUUGAUCUAGGAUAUAAAACAGAUUAAUUAGGAGAAGUGCAUAAUGGUCUUAUUAACCACAUGGUAAUUAACAUAAAAUUACUUUCUUAAACUUAAUAAAUAGAAUCCUUAAUCACAUCUUUCAUAAACAACACUAAAAAUGAUAUUUUUCUUGAUUGAAGAAUUUUUAAUUUCUUAAAUUCCAGACAUAUUUUGCUAAUCAAUUCGUCUUUUUAUCAUGACUUUUGUUCUUUUUGUCCUAUGUGUUGAUCUGUCAGAUUUUCCUUGUGAAGUUGGGUUUUCGGAAGCAGUUGAAUAUCUCAUUGAGCCGCUAGAUAUCAGAAAUUUCACGCAAUUUUCUCUCCGUUAUGUGGAUACAGAGGAGAAGGCUUUGGGAACAACUUCAUUUGAAUCUAGAUUUGGAGGACAUCAGACCCUCCAUGAAAGAGAGAAAUCUUUCUAUGCUAGAAAUCAAACAGUUCACUGUGGUUUUGUCAAGGGACCCGUUGGAUUUCCUAGUACCGGAUUUGAUUUGGAUGAAAAGGACAAGGCAUACAUGAGUACUUGUCUGGUAGUGGUUUCUUCUUGCAUUUUUGGAAGCUCUGACUUUCUGAGGAGGCCUACAAGUAAAAAAGUACCUACCUCCUUUUAAGUAUAAAUUUUAGUCAUGUAGACCAUUGUUUUUCUUUUUUAAAUAUUUGAGUUGUGUUUUGUACGUUUACAUGUCAAAGCUAUUUUAGAUAAGAAUCAUCAUAAAUUUCAGUCUACUUACUCGUAGCACUUUAAAUUGUCUACAAAAAGAAAGCACACAAAGCUGGUGGCCAUAAAGUUAUCUUAGGAUGACUUUGUAUUGGAAGACAUUCCAAUGAGUUAAAAGAGAAUUACAAGAUUAUUCUUUUGAGCUGUUUAAGGUACUAUAGUUUUGUACUUUUAUUAUAUGAUAACUAUAUAUAGGUAGAUAGACAGAUAGAUGGAUAGAUAGAUAGAUAGGGAGAAACAAAGUAAGAUAGACAGAGAGUUUUCUAGUAAUUUAUUUAUUAGGUAGGUAGAUAUGAGCAUACCUAUUUGGUAUAUCAAUAUUUGUGUUUUCUGCUGAGAUUAUGCUUUUAGAAACUACAGUGUUUUUUGGCUCAUACAUUUAGGAGUGUGUUGGAUUAUUUUAGUUUAUGUUCUAUUAUCUUUACAGAUUGUAUUGAACCUCUAAAUAGACAAAUUAUAUUACUUAUAUUCUCCUUUGAAUAUAGCUUUAUUGACAAAAAAACAAAAAGAUAUGAUUUAUAAUAUUGUCAUGUAACCUAAAAGCAACAAUAAAUCGUUGUCAUAGGUAAAAUGGACCAAUUGCAAUGCUCACUGAAGUUUGGGGAAGUUACACCUCUGUAACUUUAACUAGUUUGAACUGUUAGUGUUAACUUCAUUAUGAGCUUUAAUUCCAUUUACGAUAUAUUAUCAUCACCAAAAUAACCAAGACUCCAAUGAACAAUCUAAAACUGUUGUGGAAUUUAUGCUUAGGGAGUGGAAUCCCCCAUUUCAGGCGAAGUUGCUCACCAGAAUCAGUUUUCAGAUGAGGUUACUCACUGAGGUCUCAACAAAAAUUUGACUAAUAUGACUACAUUGAAAUUGAAACCAAAGUUCAGUGAUGAAAUUGGGACAAAAUAAAGUUUGGUGAUUCAGGUGAAAUUACCUCUAAUGGUCAGUGGCCAAUGAUGUUUCUUCUUAUUCUUGUACAUCAGAGAGCAAGGUAUCAGGGAUUAAACACUUGACCGACCUCCUUCAUUACAGUGCAGACACUUGAAACAGAGAUCAAUGGUGUAUUUUACCUAUUGCUUUUGUGCUUCUUGGGUGUUAGUCAUGUUCUUAGUUCUUUCAAUGAUGUUAUAUGUUCUUGCUUGUUCCAGAUCAGCAAUUUUUCCAAGAAAAAUGUUUGUUUUGUUAUGUUUUUGGAUGAGCAAACACUGUCCAAACUGUCUUUGGAUGGACAUAUACCUGAUGAUAGAGGAUAUGUUGGUCUAUGGAGAAUAGUUGUUGUCAAAAACCUGCCAUAUGAUGACAUGCGGAGAACUGGAAAGGUGCCAAAAUUUUUAUCACAUCGCCUCUUCCCUUCUUCUAGAUAUUCAAUUUGGCUCGAUAGUAAGAUGAGACUCAACACUGAUCCAAUGCUAAUACUUGAAUACUUUUUGUGGCGAAUGAGAUCAGAGUAUGCCAUUUCAAAACAUUAUGACCGUCACUGUGUCUGGGAGGAGGUACUCCAAAAUAAGCGUCUAAACAAGUACAAUCACACAGCCAUUGAUGAACAGUUUAACUUUUAUCAGUCUGAUGGUCUCACAAAGUAUGACCCUUCAGAUCCAAAUACUCCUCUUCCAAGUUAUGUGCCAGAAGGUUCAUUUAUUGUACGGGCCCAUACACCAACGUCAAAUUUAUUUUCAUGCCUCUGGUUCAAUGAAGUUGAUCGAUUUACCUCACGUGAUCAACUUAGUUUUGCAUACACUUACUUGAAACUGAGGAGAUUAAAUCCAGAUAAACCAUUCUACCUAUAUAUGUUCAAGGAUUGUGAACGCAGAGCACUAGCAAAGCUUUUCCAUCAUAGGGCAUUGCCAUCGCCUCCACCUGUUCCUUAAUCACUGAAAUUUCUUUUGGCAGUUAUGUCUUGUCUGGAGCAGGUAUUGAAAGAAGAAAAAGCAUAAGAUUCCUGAGUGCCUUCUUCAAAAAUCUAGUUUGAUGGAUCUUUCAAGCUUGGCAGAAAUCAGACCUGAGCAUUCAGCUGCCUUAUGAGAGGAUGAGAUUGAUUAGGUGGAUGCCUUAUAUCUAUGGUAAAUGACUGUAUUCUAUCGGCAAGUAGUUUUCAGCAUGGAGAGCUUGGGGCUUUGUUGGACUAAAUGAUUGGUAAUGAUAUUGCAGAAGUGUCCCUUGAUAUCAGGGCUUCAUCCCUGCAUUAUUUUUCUUCAUUUUAGUUUCAAACUUAACACCAACCUACUUAAUCCGAUGUGUCCCCAUGUGCACAUACACACAGAGACUGAUGACUGAUUGCUUUUCCACUAUAGUUUGCAACACAUCUCUCUUCUGAAUAUUUACCAACAAAUUGUUGGGAGGGAAGAAAGGUGCUAAGUUCUUAAGCAUUAUUUUGUCCUUUUUGUAUCCUAUAAUUUUUCUAAUGGCAGGUUAGCAUGUUACAUUUUGUUGAGGGAGAAAGAAAGAGGGGGGAUUCUCCUAGCUGUUAAGAGAGCAUGGAAUCCUGCUGGUCAAUAAUCAAGAUCUUUACAUUUACUAACCCGAGUGUUCGAGAAUUGGGUAUUAUGUGUAUUGCACGCAUCUUUUACUCUUAAUGGAGAGAGAAGGAAGGAGAGGUUAGAGUAUGUAACUGCUUGAGCAUGCAUUUUUUAUCUUCUUACUUUUGAAUUCAUGAUUCUUGGGGUCCUUAACCACUGACACUUGUAACUAUGCAUGAGAAUGCCAAUCAUGCUUUCUUGAAGGUCCUACAAUCUUUUCAUGACAAACUUGUGUUAUCCUGCUCUUUCAAACUGUCUAUAAAUACCUGAUUGUUUGUUGCUUGAUCCAACAAAUACUUUGCCUGGCAAAAAGAGGAAGAGAAGAGUCUGAGACUCCAUUGUAGUUGUAGAUGUUGGAUGUGAAAAUUGGAGGAAAUUGAACAAUGGGCAUUUUGUUUUGCUUUAUGUUUAGUUUCCUCCAAUAUUUCAUGUACAACCAUCACACGAUUUGUAUCUAUUACAAGCACCUACAACGAGACGAAUGAUAAUUGAUGUCUAAGUCGUAUGUGAGGAUUGGAGGAAG
RNAcentral lists this unclassified non-coding RNA (4286 nucleotides) under Hevea brasiliensis (rubber tree). The record is from RNAcentral. Lineage: Eukaryota; Viridiplantae; Streptophyta; Magnoliopsida; Malpighiales; Euphorbiaceae.